UAUACACAGAAAAAUACAGUAUACUAAAAUUGGAACAAUAGAUUAUCAUGGCCCCUGUGCAAGGAUGACAUGCAAAUCCGUGAAGCAUUUCAUAUUUUU
Molecule: non-coding RNA, 99 nt
Organism: Myotis davidii
Lineage: Eukaryota; Metazoa; Chordata; Mammalia; Chiroptera; Vespertilionidae
Source: Rfam